RNAcentral lists this ribosomal RNA (536 nucleotides) under uncultured bacterium. RNAcentral describes it as "partial 16S ribosomal RNA". It matches the Rfam family "Bacterial small subunit ribosomal RNA", at positions 356 to 881 of the family's 1533-position model. The record is from RNAcentral.
UGGGGAAUUUGGACAAUGGGCGAAAGCCUGAUCCAGCAAUGCCGCGUGUGUGAAGAAGGCCUUCGGGUUGUAAAGCACUUUUGUCCGGAAAGUAAAUCCUUGGCUCUAAUACAGUCGGGGGGAUGACGGUACCGGAAGAAUAAGCACCGGCUAACUACGUGCCAGCAGCCGCGGUAAUACGUAGGGUGCAAGCGUUAAUCGGAAUUACUGGGCGUAAAGCGUGCGCAGGCGGUUUGCUAAGACCGAUGUGAAAUCCCCGGGCUCAACCUGGGAACUGCAUUGGUGACUGGCAGGCUAGAGUAUGGCAGAGGGGGGUAGAAUUCCACGUGUAGCAGUGAAAUGCGUAGAGAUGUGGAGGAAUACCGAUGGCGAAGGCAGCCCCCAUGGGCCAAUACUGACGCUCAUGCACGAAAGCGUGGGGAGCAAACAGGAUUAGAUAACCCUGGUAGUCCACGCCCUAAACGAUGUCAACUAGUUGUUGGGGAUUCAUUUCCUUAGUAACGUAGCUAACGCGUGAAGUUGACCGCCUGGGGAGU